GAUCAACUCUUGAUCGCACAAUUUUAUAUUGAGGUGUAUGUAAAAAGUUGAGGUUAGCUCCAACCAGCAGACUAUCGAACUGUUGGCGCGAGGCAUUGAAGUAGAAAUGAUCAUAUAAUGAAAUUGAAGGCAAUCUUAUUUCUCUUAUUUAAGUGGGUGAUGCAACAAGGCCAAACUGAAGUUUUUUGUCGAAAAAGUGUAUUAUUUAUUAGGGAACAAACGCAACAACGAACGAUGCCACGCGUGCACAGCUUAAUUUUUACCAAUGACCAACGCAGAUUUGUUCGUCCCUUUCCGUGAUGUAUCGAACACGAAGUCUGUCGUAGAAGUCCUGUACCCGAUAUCAAUUACUGUCCAUAGCCACUCGAAUUCACUUGACCCGCUAUUUCCUUGUGGGGUAUUCUAGUAUUUCGAGAUGAGGACGCCCACGAUAAGUUUUGUAAAUACUAUACUAAAACAUCAGGUAAGCACGCAAUGGGAGAAGGUUGUUCACAGAUGAUCGACUUUUUCCUCAAAGUAAAUGCAUACAACAUUAUAUCUCGUUCGAUGUGACAGAAUCAAUUUUCCAGGAAAUACAGCUUUCUAGCUAUUGUGUAGAGCUGAAUAUAAGGGCUGCCUUAAGAAACCCAUUGAGAAGAAACGUCUUCCCCAUGGUGAGUUUUUUGACAAUCCAGCAUAAGAGCGAUUAUUUUUGAAGAUGUCGUUCUCAAUCUAAUCUGUUUUUUCUUCGCCAUGAGAAGCCUACGAACAAAAAAUCACUAAAAUCGAUUUCUAGCCACGUAAAAAAAAAUACUACUGAUUAUUAGUAUAUAGAAAUAUGUACAGUCAGCCAUUUUAACAGUUAAUCUAUUAUAUCUACAUCCAGUUAUAAUACAAACAUAGUAGUUGGCUGUUACAAGCGAGUGCGGUAGACGGUCAGAUUGCAUUACGCGCUUCUUCUAAAUGAGGAUUGUCUAAUAUAUAUAUAUAUAUAUAUAUACGCUUUUACAAAUCUGUAGCGGAAACCGGUUAAGUUCAUUCUAGAAGAAAGUAAAAUGUAUCGUUUCGAAGGGAUCUCGAAAAUUAGCGCUCAGUGAAUAUUGUAGUUCUGAGGACCAGCGAGGUGUCUGGAUCCGAGGGAUAGAAACACAUUUGAAGGGGCUUUUCAAGCAGAACUGGGAGUCGGCCAAAGCUGCCACUCCAUAUGCAAUUAUUAUAUGUACAAAACUAUACAAUGAAAAUGCGGAAACUGGUUAAAAACGCGUGUGCUGUGGAACCUAGGUGCAUGCAGGCGUUGAUUAGCCUCGGCCGAAGCGGCGACAAGCGAGAGAAUGGCGUCGCCCUGGAGAGAAAUCGCGUUCAGGAGCACGUUUGAAUAAGCUCACAGGUAAGGUGGCAGUAGGAGUAUUUACUAUGGAAAGAUAAUCUGCCGAAAAUGAAAUGAUCAGUGCAACCCGGUAUUUCGAGUUCCCCAAGAGACUUCUAAGCCGUUGGCAUGGCAAUCGAAAGGACGCAGUUUGGUUACCUGGUGACAAAGCCAUGAUCAUCUUCAGUCUCCAUUACUUCUCCGAUUGGGCAAGGAAAUAUCGGCUUUAACCAGCCUACCAUGCCGAGCUAGGCCCGCUUGAUUAGGAGGUUCUUUAUGCCUUAAAAAGCGCAUCUAGUGGGUAAACAUAUCUUACUAUCGAUUUAACGUUGAGAAAUAGAAAAAUCACAUAGACGAUUAGUAGGUUUAGGGGCUACCACAACGCCAACGGUUCUGUGCAAAAGGUUAAAAGGGAAAUCAUCAUUCUAGCCCAUCAACUAGCUCGCUCAUAACGGCCUAGCAAGAACUUUGCUUGAAAGUAAAAACAUUACUGCUUUAUUAACGUGACUUCUCGUUCUAGUGGCCAGUCACAGAAUUCCGUAGUUAGAACACAAAAUCAUCGUAACUUUAGCAUGGACUUAGAGCCUGUCCCGGAACGUCAAUGACGGAACUUUGCAGCGCGUACAUUUUCCAAGGAGAUUUCCUUAACCUUCCACCAGCUAAAAGGAUUUGAAUCCCUUAACUGGAGUUGAAUAAUUAGCGAACGUGUAUUUUGAAUUGUGUUCAACAGGAGAACUGCUCUUUAUCAUUCACAACGUUGGCGACAAAAUCAUAGUGGAGGUAACAGAUGUAUUGUCACAUUUGUAUUACAUUUACUUAGUGGUUUUCAGUAUAUAGAACCGCUCGGUUCAUGCGACCUUAAACAUCUAGCCACUUUUCUCUACUAUCAGUUGAUGCCUAAAAGUAAUGCCUGAGGUGCGUCACAUACAUUCACAGUAUGGGACAUCCUUCGUUCGCCGCAUAGGAUACGGAUGACCGACUGGAGAUUAUGUUCAGAAUUUAAGAACGUGGCAACGAUCGCGUGAGUUAGGAUAUUAUGUCGCCAGUUUUUUGGUCCUCAAUUGUAAAUUUUGAUGAGCGACUCGAGAGGACAUACGGCGAAGGUUGUCCAGGUUCAAAAAAACUUGGAUGUGGUUAACGUGCAUUGCCUAGGGAGUAGAUCAAAAGCUAUGAAUUGAGACAUUCUAACGUAACAAUCAAUUUAUAUACUCAACAUUAUUGGUAUAUUGAUAUAAACAAAAUUUCAUCCAGGAAAAAACUGCGACGUAAAUCGUGCGUAUCGGUAAUCGUCGAUGACUGGUCUAGCUUUUUUUUUUUGUUCUUUUUAUGCCAAUAGCAUACAUUGUUGAGCUACUAAAUGAAUUAGUCAGCCAAUGUUUGCUAGAAAAUGAACAAUCGCGUUUUUCUAUUGACUCCAGGAUCAUUCGUAGUAUUCAAUUUUUGAUAGAGUCUCAUAAUUUUUUCUGUUAUGAACGCUAGAGGCGCCAUUUUUUCAUGAAAUGGUCAGGUGUUGAACGAGCGUUACGCUGAACGAGUAUGGUUCAGCUUGUUUGCUGAGGUGCGACUGGCAAGCAAAACCUGUGACGGUUAAGGAUCAACUUGUUGUCCUAAAGCGGCGUCGCCUUUUGGACUGGAGACGCGCUGAUCUAAUAAAUGGUAGCAGACAACAAUGAAGCAGCCUUGUAAAUGACGCGCGAUCUGCUGACUAUGGAUCGGCGGCCAGUUCUAUGAUGACAGCUG
Molecule: long non-coding RNA, 3085 nt
Organism: Varroa destructor (honeybee mite)
Lineage: Eukaryota; Metazoa; Arthropoda; Arachnida; Mesostigmata; Varroidae
Source: RefSeq, a predicted model, not a curated record